Molecule: ribosomal RNA, 500 nt
Filed under: Providencia rettgeri
Lineage: Bacteria; Pseudomonadati; Pseudomonadota; Gammaproteobacteria; Enterobacterales; Morganellaceae
Description: bacterial SSU rRNA
Rfam family: Bacterial small subunit ribosomal RNA
Source: RNAcentral
AAACUUAAAGGAAUUGACGGGGGCCCGCACAAGCGGUGGAGCAUGUGGUUUAAUUCGAUGCAACGCGAAGAACCUUACCUACUCUUGACAUCCAGAGAACUUAGCAGAGAUGCUUUGGUGCCUUCGGGAACUCUGAGACAGGUGCUGCAUGGCUGUCGUCAGCUCGUGUUGUGAAAUGUUGGGUUAAGUCCCGCAACGAGCGCAACCCUUAUCCUUUGUUGCCAGCGAUUCGGUCGGGAACUCAAAGGAGACUGCCGGUGAUAAACCGGAGGAAGGUGGGGAUGACGUCAAGUCAUCAUGGCCCUUACGAGUAGGGCUACACACGUGCUACAAUGGCGUAUACAAAGAGAAGCAACCUCGCGAGAGCAAGCGGAACUCAUAAAGUACGUCGUAGUCCGGAUUGGAGUCUGCAACUCGACUCCAUGAAGUCGGAAUCGCUAGUAAUCGUAGAUCAGAAUGCUACGGUGAAUACGUUCCCGGGCCUUGUACACACCGCCCGU